GUGAGCCGGAGAAAUGUCACUCUCACUACACUACAUUCUGUCUUCUUUCCAUCCUUGUUCCAUUCACCCUCUGUAGGUGACCAGUCUCUUUCAUUUCUGGUUUAUCCUUACUGCAUUUCUUUUGCACAAAUGUGCAGAUACAUGUACACUUUCUCAUGUCCUCUUCUUUCUUCUAUGAAGAGCUGUUUACUGUAGACACUCUUGGGCUUUGCUUACUUCACUGAACACUAUGUCCUGGAAUUCACUCCAUAUUCAUUCAUACAGCUCUUCCUCAAUUCUUUUUUAUAACUGCACACUGCUUCAUCUUAUUGAUGUGCCAUGAUUUAUUCAACCACUAAAUACUGGACGUUUAGGUGUUUCCAAUAUUUUGCAAUGAGAAACAAUGCUGCAAUGAAUAACCUUGUGCAUAUGUGUUUUAUUAUCAUCAGAAGUGCGUUUUCGGAGUGGAUCCCUAGAAGUGGGAUUGCUGGGUCAAAAGAUUUGUAGGAGCAUUGUGACCUGACCAAGCACAAAAAAGUUCCCAACCUCAUUGGAUCCUUGCUCCCAGAUGUCUGCGGUAGUCCAUUAUCUCUUGAUCCUACCCACCUCCUCUUCCUCCUGCCCUGAAUGUAGAAAGAGCCUAAAAUUUGUA
This 631-nucleotide long non-coding RNA is filed under the name Homo sapiens (human). Its description in RNAcentral is "non-protein coding lnc-CTXND1-7:5". The record is from RNAcentral. Lineage: Eukaryota; Metazoa; Chordata; Mammalia; Primates; Hominidae.